Molecule: ribosomal RNA, 460 nt
Filed under: uncultured bacterium
Lineage: Bacteria
Description: partial 16S ribosomal RNA
Rfam family: Bacterial small subunit ribosomal RNA
Source: RNAcentral
CCUACGGGAGGCAGCAGUGAGGAAUAUUGGUCAAUGGGCGAGAGCCUGAACCAGCCAAGUCGCGUGAAGGAUGACGGCCCUACGGGUUGUAAACUUCUUUUGUAAGGGAGUAAUUGGGUCCACGCGUGGGCUUAGCGAGAGUACCUGAAGAAAAAGCAUCGGCUAACUCCGUGCCAGCAGCCGCGGUAAUACGGAGUAUGAGAGCGUUAUCCGGAUUUAUUGGGGUUAAAGGGUGCGUAGGCGGAAUAUCAAGUCAGCGGUAAAAAUUCGGGGCACAACCCCGUCGUGCCGUUGAAACUGAUGUUCUUGAGUGGGCGAGAGGUAUGCGGAAUGCGCGGUGUAGCGGUGAAAUGCAUAGAUAUCGCGCAGAGCGCCGAUUGCGAAGGCAGCGUACCGGCGCCAGACUGACGCUGAGGCACGAAAGCGUGGGGAUCGAACAGGAUUAGAUACCCGUGUAGUC